GGGGGUGAAAGGGCUCGACUUAGGCAGGUCGGGUAAAAGGAGCAUGCCGCGGACGUAAGGUUUGCCGCGUUAACAAUCCUUAUACAACUAAACGCAAAUACACCGCGUUUUCAGCUUACCAACCCAUUAGCCGUAAGGCCAAUGGCUGGUAUGCCGCUAGUCUUCGCUAACUAAUUUAGCGAAGCCUCUAUCUAUUCAGUCCACGGGAUAGAAUAGAGCCUAAGUGGAAUAGCUGAGCUUUUUGCCUUUGGGGGCUUGGCGAAACUCAAAAAGGCUGCGGCCUACGCGAUCCUGUGUAGCGGAGCGCGUGGGAACAAGCGUAAAAGCUAUACUGAGCAUGGAGCGCCUUUUAUCUGAAUGUUUAAGGACCCCGGUCCAAUUCCGGGCACCUCCACCA
Molecule: transfer-messenger RNA, 397 nt
Filed under: Candidatus Omnitrophota bacterium
Lineage: Bacteria; Pseudomonadati; Candidatus Omnitrophota
Rfam family: transfer-messenger RNA
About the family: Bacterial tmRNA, also known as 10Sa RNA or SsrA, is named for its dual tRNA and mRNA-like properties. Its role is to liberate the mRNA from a stalled ribosome.
Source: RNAcentral